AUAGCAGGUCGUCUUAUCGCGCUGUCGUAAGGCAGUGAGGAAAGUCUGGGCAACACAGAGCGUCGGCCUUCCGAAAGAAAGGCGUCCGUGAGGGUGCAGUAGGGCAGAAGAAAACAACCGCCGCGUAUGCGGUAAGGGUGAGAAGGCGGUGUAAGAGACCACCAAUGCAGCAGGUGACUGUUGCAGUUGUGUCCCUGCCGAGUUGAAAGGUCAUGUAUAUCGUAAUCCGCAAGGGCAAGGCUGCUCGUCUUGUUUUUGGAAACAAAAGUUGCGAGGGGUGGACCGAUAGUGAUUGCAGGCAACUGCAGUUCGAGAUAAAUGAUAAGACAUUGCUACGGCAAUGACAGAACUUGGCUUAUAGACCUGCUAUCUUU
This 374-nucleotide RNase P RNA is filed under the name Salinivirgaceae bacterium. RNAcentral's name for it is "RNase P RNA component class A". It matches the Rfam family "Bacterial RNase P class A". Rfam says of the family: Ribonuclease P (RNase P) is a ubiquitous endoribonuclease, found in archaea, bacteria and eukarya as well as chloroplasts and mitochondria. Its best characterised activity is the generation of mature 5'-ends of tRNAs by cleaving the 5'-leader elements of precursor-tRNAs. Lineage: Bacteria; Pseudomonadati; Bacteroidota; Bacteroidia; Bacteroidales; Salinivirgaceae. The record is from RNAcentral.